UGAAAACUAUCACUCCACAAGUGAGUAGAUAGUUUCGUUUGAUGCGCAUCUCCAAUGACUCUGGUGAAUACGGGCGCUCGUUCGAUUGUUAUAUACACCUUCAACUUUAUGAUGGAAUGGAGCUCAGCAGGAACAUUUUUCAUCUACGCGGCCAUUGGCGGUUCAACUGUUGUGUUCGUUGCGAAGCUAGUGACGGAGACCAAGGGGCGAACGCUCGAAGAACUACAAGCAUCAAUUGCACAUUUUGUCUAAUAAGAUGAACUAUGAAGCCAUGAUAGUACAGCAGAGGCUGUAUUUAGAGCCCAAAGCCUGGCUUUCUCGUGUCAUAUAUAGGUUUGUAAUUUGUGAUUCCCACUCUUAUCCACAACUGCCCAGUUCGAAUUCCCAUCGAACUCUGCAGCGGAUAGAGCGGAAGCAAAGUCCUGCUCUAUCCACAACUCUCCCGGCCGCGGAAUGCCAUAAGUUGAUUAAGUCUUGGGUAUAUAUAUUUUAAAUGAUUUUGUAAUUAUAGAAAUAAAUCUCUACUGUAACAAAUUA
Molecule: long non-coding RNA, 537 nt
Organism: Pyrus x bretschneideri (Chinese white pear)
Lineage: Eukaryota; Viridiplantae; Streptophyta; Magnoliopsida; Rosales; Rosaceae
Exons: 2
Source: RefSeq, a predicted model, not a curated record